CGCGUAGGCGGGCCUUCAAGUCGGAUGUGAAAACCAAGCAGCUCAACUGCUGGCCUGCAUUCGAUACUGUUGGUCUUGAGUACAGGAGGGGAGAGCGGAAUUCCAGGUGUAGCGGUGAAAUGCGUAGAUAUCUGGAAGAACACCGGUAGCGAAGGCGGCUCUCUGGCCUGAUACUGACGCUCAAGCGCGAAGGCUUGGGGAGCAAACA
RNAcentral lists this ribosomal RNA (208 nucleotides) under uncultured bacterium. RNAcentral describes it as "partial 16S ribosomal RNA". It matches the Rfam family "Bacterial small subunit ribosomal RNA", at positions 568 to 774 of the family's 1533-position model. The record is from RNAcentral.